UUGCCCUAGUAACGGCGAGUGAAGCGGCAAUAGCUCAGAUUUGAAAUCUGGCGUCUUCGGCGUCCGAGUUGUAAUCUGUAGAGGAUGCCUUUGGGUAGCCACCGGUCUAAGUCCCCUGGAACGGGGCGUCACAGAGGGUGAGAAUCCCGUAUGUGACCGGAAGGGCACCCUCCACAAGGCUCCUUCGACGAGUCGAGUUGUUUGGGAAUGCAGCUCUAAAUGGGAGGUAAAUUCCUUCUAAAGCUAAAUACCGGCCAGAGACCGAUAGCGCACAAGUAGAGUGAUCGAAAGAUGAAAAGCACUUUGGAAAGAGAGUUAAAAAGCACGUGAAAUUGUUGAAAGGGAAGCGCUUGCAACCAGACUUGUUGGCGGUGUUCCGCCGGUCUUCUGACCGGUCCACUCACCGUCUGCAGGCCAGCAUCAUCUGGGGCCGCCGGAUAAAAGCGAGGGGAACGUGGCUCCCUCGGGAGUGUUAUAGCCCCUCGUGCAAUACGGCGAGCCUCGGGUGAGGUCCGCGCUUCGGCUAGGAUGCUGGCGUAAUGGUCGUAAGCGGCCCGUCUUGAAACACGGACCAAGGAGUCUAACAUCUAUGCGAGUGUUCGGGUGUCAAACCCCUACGCGUAAUGAAAGUGAACGGAGGUGGGAGCCUUAGGGUGCACCAUCGACCGAUCCUGAUGUCUUCGGAUGGAUUUGAGUAAGAGCAUAGCUGUUGGGACCCGAAAGAUGGUGAACUAUGCCUGGAUAGGGUGAAGCCAGAGGAAACUCUGGUGGAGGCUCGCAGCGGUUCUGACGUGCAAAUCGAUCGUCAAAUUUGGGUAUAGGGGCGAAAGACUAAU
This 836-nucleotide ribosomal RNA is filed under the name Capnodium alfenasii. RNAcentral describes it as "Capnodium sp. JA-2019a partial large subunit ribosomal RNA". It matches the Rfam family "Eukaryotic large subunit ribosomal RNA", at positions 75 to 935 of the family's 3401-position model. The record is from RNAcentral. Lineage: Eukaryota; Fungi; Ascomycota; Dothideomycetes; Capnodiales; Capnodiaceae. RNAcentral also lists the same sequence under 2 other names.